Molecule: long non-coding RNA, 2194 nt
Organism: Leopardus geoffroyi (Geoffroy's cat)
Lineage: Eukaryota; Metazoa; Chordata; Mammalia; Carnivora; Felidae
Exons: 2
Source: RefSeq, a predicted model, not a curated record
AAGUCGGACACUUAACUGACUGAGCCACCCAGGUGGUCCUGGCUAGGUUUUCUUCAGAUAAUCUUUUUGGAGAUAGCAAUUUCAUUUGGUAAAAGUUUAUGCUGUGACUUGGAAUCUUCUGAGCAUAGGCCAUGGGAACCUGAAUGUUUGUUACUUGCUUCCUUGGGGGGCUCCUAGAUUCUCACCCUCACCUCCCCUCCUCUGUGAUGACCCCAGAGCCAUACCUCCAGCUGCCUAUGGCUGGACUCCACUGCAACACUUUUCGGUGUUCACAAGAUGUGGCACCCAGCCAGGUGUAGCUGUUCCUUUGAACCCUGAACAUACAAUCCAAACCAGUUGACUUCCAUGCCUAGCUAACCCUUCCCGGAAUUUUCCCAUUUCUUUGUCACCAUCAUGCCCCAGCCAGAUCUGUGAUUCUUCCUUCCUGUCGCUGAGCCUGCUGACCCUUCUUGCACAGUGUCUCCCUGAGGCACCCCUUUCCCAUGGCACAGGUGCCACUUUGACUCCUGUACAACACUUCUGACUCAUUCCCCAGCCUUGAUGCCUGGUCCCCCUCUCCGGUCGCCGUGCCCACUGCCGCCACCACAGGAAAACUAGCACGGCCAUUGCUCUGCAUACACUGCCUCCCCUCUGCAUCGCAGCCCCUCUUCCCUGGUGCAGACCCCCCUCUGCCAGCUCCGCACUAUCAUUAAUCCUCGGCUGGGUCCUCAGCCAUUCGGUCUUCUUCCCGUCUGCUCAAACCCCACCCCUUUCCUGGGCCCAACCGGUCAAGGCCGAGUCAGACAGACCUCACUGGUGGUCUUCACCACCACUCCCAGCUGCGUGUCCCUGGUCAAGCCAUAUGCUCUCCCUGAGCCUUAGUUUCCUCACAGUCACCUGUGGAGACUGGUGCCUGCCCAGUGGGUGUGGUGUUAGGAAGAAGGGCCGUAGGCCAAGGCACAGUGCCCGGCAUGGCCUGGGCCCCCGACCCUGCACCUUUGAGAAGCUUCUGCUUUCCUCACCAUGCUUAUUUCUUCUCCACUUGAUACUUUGGUGGACACAUUACACACUGGAUUCUUCUCUUUAAAUAGUUUUUUUGGCUUAUGGGUGCACACACUGCCUCAUCCAAGGAGUGAGACCGUGCACUCCAUAGGCAGCCUUGGGUCUUUUCCUGAGCUCUGUUCUAUGCCUGUCGUUGUCUAACAUGUCCAACGUCACCCACAAAAACAUGCCCCGUUUUGUGGACCGAAGUGCCCUGUGGGAACACAGGACGCCAUAGAUGCAAUUUCCCCUUAACUGGCUGGCUCGGGUUCAUGAGGCCUGCCCCUCUCACCCUGUCUAUACAAGCGACAAGAGCCAACCUUGAAAACUGGGCACCAACAGCGGCAGAGCGGACCGAGUCCCAGGUUGUUUUCUCCUCGCCUUCGAUGUCAGCGUGACACGCGCUCUCAUGCCAACGGCAGGCUCACGGCUCACCUCCCCCAACACCGACUUCUGCCCAACCCCAGAAGAAGACGGAGGGUGGGCACACUGCCAGCCGCUCUCCACCAGGUCUGCACGGCCACCGGGCCUGCCUGGGCUGCCUAACCCACUGAGAAGCAUCGCCACAAGGUUGACAUUUCAUUCCCCUCUCGCUUCCCUCCCCAGCCUUUAAAUGAGAGAGAAAAAAAAAAAAACCACCCUAAAAAUGAAAGCAUUUGUGGUAUCUCCGUUCCUCUACCCCUGCUGCUGAUUCAAGGGGCUGCCUGCCUAAUGAGAAGAAGGCAGUGCGACGAAACACAGGGCUCGUGGCAGAGGCGCCAGUCUCCUUCAGAGACGCUGGUCUCCAAAGGCAACAUCUGGGUCCGGUCACCGAAGACAGAUGGGCUCCCUCUACUUCGUCCCCCAUCCCCGCGGGACCUCUGCCGGAGGCGCGGCAUGCUAUUUGAAUGCAAUGAUAUGCUGACUAAAUCGUUCCUGCACGGUGCGCGCCGAGUGCAUUCCUACUGUUAGAACCUAUUCUGUAUCUGUACCGGCCUCCUCAUUACGGAUGGCUUUCUCUAUCUCAAAACAUUCCUGGGAUUUCCAGAUGCUGCCAUUGAACAAAUUCUCAUUAUUUUGCUUCUGUUCCUUUAUACAGCCAAAUGGUCCUCCUCUGACAUUGCAGGGGGCCAAUUUCGUAAAAAUAAUCACUUUUGCUACUGUGGUUAUUAACCAAUAAACGGUUGAGAAUCAA